Molecule: ribosomal RNA, 667 nt
Filed under: uncultured bacterium
Lineage: Bacteria
Description: bacterial SSU rRNA
Rfam family: Bacterial small subunit ribosomal RNA
Source: RNAcentral
GACGAACGCUGGCGGCGUGCUUAACACAUGCAAGUCGAACGGGCGAUACUCCUUCGGGGGUAAAGCUAGUGGCGGACGGGUGAGUAACGCGUGGGCAACCUGCCUCGGACAGGGGAAUAACCAUGAGAAAUCAUGGCUAAUACCUCAUAAGCUUCCGGAACCGCAUGGUUCAGGGAGAAAAGAUUUAUCGGUUCGAGAGGGGCCCGCGUCUGAUUAGCUAGUUGGAGAGGUAACGGCUCACCAAGGCGACGAUCAGUAGCCGACCUGAGAGGGUGAUCGGCCACAUUGGGACUGAGACACGGCCCAAACUCCUACGGGAGGCAGCAGUGGGGAAUAUUGCGCAAUGGGCGAAAGCCUGACGCAGCAACGCCGCGUGAAGGAAGAAGGUUUUCGGAUCGUAAACUUCAAUCUACAGGGAAGAAAAAAAUGACGGUACCUGAGGAGAAGCCCCGGCUAACUACGUGCCAGCAGCCGCGGUAAUACGUAGGGGGCAAGCGUUAUCCGGAAUUACUGGGUGUAAAGGGUGAGUAGGCGGCAUCGUAAGUCAUAUGUGAAAUCCCGACGCUUAACGUCGGGACUGCAUAAGAAACUACGGAGCUAGAGUACAGGAGAGGUAAGCGGAAUUCCUAGUGUAGCGGUGAAAUGCGUAGAUAUUAGGAAGAACACA